UAACAAACGCUAACGUUCGCUAAAAAUAUGAAUAGAAAUAAAAUAAUCCUCCCUUACCCCCCAUCCUUGGCUGAGAUGAAAGGCAGAGUAAACAGCUGCGUCACAGGUCGGGUGGUGGAGCGUGGCGAACGACUGUCCCCCUGGCAGCCUGUGACAGAGGGGGGUCAGGAGGGGCCCCCCACCUACAGAGAGGCCCAGGGGAGGGGUCUGUCUGUAGAAGCUCUGUCUGCAGAGUGAGAAGCCUGGGUCUGGUUCUGAUAGUGCCGUGACUGGUAGAGACAGCUCCAGAGUCAGAGUCAGCCCCAGCCAGAUCCACCCUGCCCAGCCUGCAUUACUGACACUGACACCAGCAGGACACCACCGCAGCAGCAGCAUGGUGAGCUCAGCAAACCCACACACUCACAGAGAGAGAGGCUGGUAAAUAA
Long non-coding RNA from Oncorhynchus masou masou (cherry salmon), 425 nucleotides. RefSeq lists it as uncharacterized. Lineage: Eukaryota; Metazoa; Chordata; Actinopteri; Salmoniformes; Salmonidae. The transcript is spliced from 2 exons. The record is from RefSeq and is a predicted model, not a curated record.